Molecule: unclassified non-coding RNA, 662 nt
Filed under: Hevea brasiliensis (rubber tree)
Lineage: Eukaryota; Viridiplantae; Streptophyta; Magnoliopsida; Malpighiales; Euphorbiaceae
Source: RNAcentral
GCAUUAUGCAUGCAUGGUUGAUCUUCUUGGGCGAGGAGGUCUCUUGGAUGAAGCUAUUAGUCUAAUAAGAGGAAUGCCAAUGAAGCCUGAUAUUGUGAUUUGGGGUGCUUUACUUGGUGCAUGUAGGAUCCAUGGAAAUGUUGAGAUAGGGAAACAAAUCCUAAAACAGUUAUUGGAGUCGGAGCCAUGCAGUUCUGGUGUUUAUGUCCUUGUAUCGAACUUGUAUUCUGAAGUUGGAAGAUGGCAAGACAUGAAGAACAUUCGAAAACUAAUGAAUUACCAUGAGAUCAUCAAGUGCAGAGCAAUUAGCUCAGUUGAAGUUGAGGGCUAUGUUUAUGAAUUCAUGGUUGAUGACAAGAGACUCGAAGUUUCAAGCAAUGUAUUCUCCAUUCUUGAUCAGUUAACUGACCAUAUGAAGUCAAUAGCGUACUUUUGCAACAUCUCAAGUCUUUGUUCAGAAACGUCGGAAGUAUAGUGGCAACAAGCCUUGAAAGUACAGUAUGUGAGCAAUAAACAAGAACAACUGCUAUGAACUGUAAGUACACAAACUCACUCAGGAUGGAUAUUUCUUCCUUUCAUUUUUGAAUUCUGGAUUUAUUUAUUACAAGCUUUUUACCGAGAUGCCUACGCUCUUUAAACAUUUGAAAUAUUCUUUCGAUAUA